Molecule: ribosomal RNA, 465 nt
Filed under: uncultured bacterium
Lineage: Bacteria
Description: partial 16S ribosomal RNA
Rfam family: Bacterial small subunit ribosomal RNA
Source: RNAcentral
GACGAACGCUGGCGGCGUGCUUAACACAUGCAAGUCGAACGGAAAGGCCCCCUUGUGGGGUACUCGAGUGGCGAACGGGUGAGUAACACGUAAGUAACCUACCCUUGACUUUGGGAUAACUUCAGGAAACUGGGGCUAAUACCGGAUAGGAGCUCCUGCUGCAUGGUGGGGGUUGGAAAGUUUCGGCGGUUGGGGAUGGACUCGCGGCUUAUCAGCUUGUUGGUGGGGUAGUGGCUCACCAAGGCUUUGACGGGUAGCCGGCCUGAGAGGGUGACCGGCCACAUUGGGACUGAGAUACGGCCCAGACUCCUACGGGAGGCAGCAGUGGGGAAUAUUGCACAAUGGGCGAAAGCCUGAUGCAGCAACGCCGCGUGCGGGAUGACGGCCUUCGGGUUGUAAACCGCUUUCGCCUGUGACGAAGCGUGAGUGACGGUAAUGGGUAAAGAAGCACCGGCUAACUACGUG